GCCAUAUGUAAUUGAUGAAGGAUCUCAAUCGAUGUUGUAGAUUUAUUUGAUUUUAUGUCUUUUUAUUGAAUCAUAUUUAGUUUUUGUAACUGUAAUUAUAUGUAGUCGUGCAACUCAUAAUUAAAAGGCCUCCCAUGAAAAAAAAAAUUAUAUCAAGAUUUUUUUUAAUGAAAUUUUUCUUAAAGCUUUUAAUAAAAUAUGAUACUCCACAAAAUACUGCAUCCUUGAGAAGGCAAUAUUGAAAUUUCUCUCCUUGCUAACCUAAAGGAAAUCAUUCAUAUACCUGACUCUAAGUAGUACUAGUUUAUCGCUAAACUAUUAAACUUCGAUUGAGUUGGACAAAACUUGCUGUAAAUCUUGUUGAAUUUGCCUAGUUCCUU
RNAcentral lists this unclassified non-coding RNA (380 nucleotides) under Hevea brasiliensis (rubber tree). Lineage: Eukaryota; Viridiplantae; Streptophyta; Magnoliopsida; Malpighiales; Euphorbiaceae. The record is from RNAcentral.